GACGAACGCUGGCGGCGUGCUUAACACAUGCAAGUCGAACGGAAAGGCCCUGCUUUUGUGGGGUGCUCGAGUGGCGAACGGGUGAGUAACACGUGAGUAACCUGCCCUUGACUUUGGGAUAACUUCAGGAAACUGGGGCUAAUACCGGAUAGGAGCUCCUGCUGCAUGGUGGGGGUUGGAAAGUUUCGGCGGUUGGGGAUGGACUCGCGGCUUAUCAGCUUGUUGGUGGGGUAGUGGCUUACCAAGGCUUUGACGGGUAGCCGGCCUGAGAGGGUGACCGGCCACAUUGGGACUGAGAUGCGGCCCAGACUCCUACGGGAGGCAGCAGUGGGGAAUAUUGCACAAUGGGCGGAAGCCUGAUGCAGCAACGCCGCGUGUGGGAUGACGGCCUUCGGGUUGUAAACCGCUUUCGCCUGUGACGAAGCGUGAGUGACGGUAAUGGGUAAAGAAGCACCGGCUAACUACGUG
This 468-nucleotide ribosomal RNA is filed under the name uncultured bacterium. RNAcentral describes it as "partial 16S ribosomal RNA". It matches the Rfam family "Bacterial small subunit ribosomal RNA", at positions 28 to 507 of the family's 1533-position model. The record is from RNAcentral.